AAACGUAACAAGGUCUCCGUUGGUGAACCAGCGGAGGGAUCAUUACCGAGUUUACAACUCCCAAACCCCUGUGAACAUACCUUAAUGUUGCCUCGGCGGAUCAGCCCGCGCCCCGUAAAACGGGACGGCCCGCCAGAGGACCCAAACUCUAAUGUUUCUUAUUGUAACUUCUGAGUAAAACAAACAAAUAAAUCAAAACUUUCAACAACGGAUCUCUUGGUUCUGGCAUCGAUGAAGAACGCAGCAAAAUGCGAUAAGUAAUGUGAAUUGCAGAAUUCAGUGAAUCAUCGAAUCUUUGAACGCACAUUGCGCCCGCUGGUAUUCCGGCGGGCAUGCCUGUUCGAGCGUCAUUUCAACCCUCAAGCCCCCGGGUUUGGUGUUGGGGAUCGGCUCUGCCUUACGGCGGCGCCGCCCCCGAAAUACAUUGGCGGUCUCGCUGCAGCCUCCAUUGCGUAGUAGCUAACACCUCGCAACUGGAACGCGGCGCGGCCAUGCCGUAAAACCCCAACUUCUGAAUGUUGACCUCGGAUCAGGUAGGAAUACCCGCUGAACUUAAGCAUAUCAAUAAGCGGAGGAAAAGAAACCAACAGGGAUUGCCCUAGUAACGGCGAGUGAAGCGGCAACAGCUCAAAUUUGAAAUCUGGCUUUCGGGCCCGAGUUGUAAUUUGUAGAGGAUACUUUUGAUGCGGUGCCUUCCGAGUUCCCUGGAACGGGACGCCAUAGAGGGUGAGAGCCCCGUCUGGUUGGAUGCCAAAUCUCUGUAAAGUUCCUUCGACGAGUCGAGUAGUUUGGGAAUGCUGCUCUAAAUGGGAGGUAUAUGUCUUCUAAAGCUAAAUAUUGGCCAGAGACCGAUAGCGCACAAGUAGAGUGAUCGAAAGAUGAAAAGCACUUUGAAAAGAGAGUUAAAAAGUACGUGAAAUUGUUGAAAGGGAAGCGUUUAUGACCAGACUUGGACUUGGUUAAUCAUCUGGGGUUCUCCCCAGUGCACUUUUCCAGUUCAGGCCAGCAUCAGUUUUCGCCGGGGGAUAAAGGCAGCGGGAAUGUGGCUCUCUUCGGGGAGUGUUAUAGCCCGUUGUGUAAUACCCUGGUGGGGACUGAGGUUCGCGCUUCUGCAAGGAUGCUGGCGUAAUGGUCAUCAACGACCCGUCUUGAAACACGGACCAAGGAGUCGUCUUCGUAUGCGAGUGUUCGGGUGUCAAACCCCUACGCGUAAUGAAAGUGAACGCAGGUGAGAGCUUCGGCGCAUCAUCGACCGAUCCUGAUGUUCUCGGAUGGAUUUGAGUAAGAGCAUACGGGGCCGGACCCGAAAGAAGGUGAACUAUGCCUGUAUAGGGUGAAGCCAGAGGAAACUCUGGUGGAGGCUCGCAGCGGUUCUGACGUGCAAAUCGAUCGUCAAAUAUGGGCAUGGGGGCGAAAGACUAAUCGACUU
RNAcentral lists this small RNA (1429 nucleotides) under Fusarium gamsii. RNAcentral describes it as "eukaryotic LSU rRNA". The stretch from base 520 to 1429 matches the Rfam family "Eukaryotic large subunit ribosomal RNA", at positions 1 to 942 of the family's 3401-position model. The record is from RNAcentral. Lineage: Eukaryota; Fungi; Ascomycota; Sordariomycetes; Hypocreales; Nectriaceae.